This 511-nucleotide long non-coding RNA is filed under the name Pan troglodytes (chimpanzee). Its description in RNAcentral is "long non-coding RNA NONPTRT003580". The record is from RNAcentral. Lineage: Eukaryota; Metazoa; Chordata; Mammalia; Primates; Hominidae.
UGAGAAAGAAUGAGGGGGACCAAGCAGAAGUGGAGAAGAUGGUUUUUUGCCUGCUCAUUUAAGAGAAACCUCAAAAGGGCACACAGAAAAAUUUGAAGAUAGAGAAGGAGAGCUUUUAGAGAAUGGAGACUCUAAAAAAUGGUGGGGCUGCAUCUGGAGAGGCCAACAGAAAGACUAGACUGGAAACGAGGUUAGCAGCUGAAACUUCCAUCCACAGAAUGCAUUUCAAUUAAUGGAAGGAGAAGAAACUCUCAAGUGUAUUGGAUGAGGGACAAACUGGACUGUUAACAUUUCAACUGAAGAAUUUACAAGGUAAUGUGCUGACAUCAUAACAAGGUUGGAGGGAGGCCCGUCUCACAAGAAUGUGGAAACCCAAUCAUCAUGCUUAUGAACCACAAAAGGAUCUAGAUACUGAUGUUCCUAUACACUUAUUUCUUAUGUCGAAUAGUGCAAUUCAAAUUCUAUUCUUGAAGCUUAAAGAUAACAUUGGAGCUGGCCCAAACUAGUAAAA